AUUGAACGCUGGCGGCAGGCCUAACACAUGCAAGUCGAGCGGAUGAAGGGAGCUUGCUCCUGGAUUCAGCGGCGGACGGGUGAGUAAUGCCUAGGAAUCUGCCUGGUAGUGGGGGAUAACGUCCGGAAACGGGCGCUAAUACCGCAUAAGUCCUGAGGGAGAAAGUGGGGGAUCUUCGGACCUCACGCUAUCAGAUGAGCCUAGGUCGGAUUAGCUGGUUGGGGGGGUAAAGGCCUACCAAGGCACCAAUCCGAAACUGGCCUGGGAGGAUGAGCGGUCCCCCUGAACCUGAAACGCGUCCCGUCCCCCUCGGGGGGCCAGCGUUGGGAAUUUUUGACCAUGGGGCGAAGGCCUAUUCCGCCCUUCCGCCUUGUUUAAAAAAGUUUUCCGGUUUUUAAACCCCUUUAUUUGGAGAGAAAGGCAGCUAGGUUAAUCCCUGCCUUUUUGACGUUACCAACAGAAUAAGCACCGGCUAACUUCGUG
This 483-nucleotide ribosomal RNA is filed under the name uncultured bacterium. RNAcentral describes it as "partial 16S ribosomal RNA". It matches the Rfam family "Bacterial small subunit ribosomal RNA", at positions 30 to 507 of the family's 1533-position model. The record is from RNAcentral.